This 72-nucleotide transfer RNA is filed under the name Camelus bactrianus (Bactrian camel). It matches the Rfam family "tRNA". From Rfam's summary of the family: Transfer RNA (tRNA) molecules are approximately 80 nucleotides in length. Their secondary structure includes four short double-helical elements and three loops (D, anti-codon, and T loops). The record is from Rfam by way of RNAcentral. Lineage: Eukaryota; Metazoa; Chordata; Mammalia; Artiodactyla; Camelidae. RNAcentral also lists the same sequence under 1 other name.
GAGGUUAUAGUUCAAUGGUAGAGUGUAUGCUUAGCGUGUAUGAGGUCCUGGGUUCAAUCCCCAGUAUCUCCA